This 221-nucleotide ribosomal RNA is filed under the name Bacillus subtilis. Its description in RNAcentral is "partial 16S ribosomal RNA". It matches the Rfam family "Bacterial small subunit ribosomal RNA", at positions 171 to 385 of the family's 1533-position model. Lineage: Bacteria; Bacillati; Bacillota; Bacilli; Caryophanales; Bacillaceae. The record is from RNAcentral.
GGAUGGUUGUUUGAACCGCAUGGUUCAAACAUAAAAGGUGGCUUCGGCUACCACUUACAGAUGGACCCGCGGCGCAUUAGCUAGUUGGUGAGGUAACGGCUCACCAAGGCGACGAUGCGUAGCCGACCUGAGAGGGUGAUCGGCCACACUGGGACUGAGACACGGCCCAGACUCCUACGGGAGGCAGCAGUAGGGAAUCUUCCGCAAUGGACGAAAGUCUG